AAGUCGGUAUUCUAACUUAGAAACUGAACUAGAAUAUUAUUAAAUAAUUUAAUAUUUAAGUUUAGGCUAUUCGACUUAUAUCCUAAUGGGGAAUAAGAACGGAGG
Non-coding RNA from Clostridium homopropionicum DSM 5847, 105 nucleotides. Lineage: Bacteria; Bacillati; Bacillota; Clostridia; Eubacteriales; Clostridiaceae. The record is from Rfam.